GGAUUGUGGCUCAGCGGUAGAGUGCUCACCUGGCAUGCAUGAGGCACUGGGUUCGAUCCUCAGCACCA
This 68-nucleotide transfer RNA is filed under the name Marmota monax (woodchuck). Its description in RNAcentral is "tRNA.Ala". Lineage: Eukaryota; Metazoa; Chordata; Mammalia; Rodentia; Sciuridae. The record is from RNAcentral.